GACGAACGCUGGCGGCGUGCCUAAUACAUGCAAGUCGAGCGGACAGAUGGGAGCUUGCUCCCGGAAGUCAGCGGCGGACGGGUGAGUAACACGUGGGCAACCUGCCUGUAAGACUGGGAUAACUUCGGGAAACCGGAGCUAAUACCGGAUACGUUCUUUUCUCGCAUGAGAGAAGAUGGAAAGUUGGUUUCGGCUAUCACUUACAGAUGGGCCGGCGGCGCAUUAGCUAGUUGGUGAGGUAAUGGCUCACCAAGGCAACGAUGCGUAGCCGACCUGAGAGGGUGAUCGGCCACACUGGGACUGAGACACGGCCCAGACUCCUACGGGAGGCAGCAGUAGGGAAUCUUCCGCAAUGGACGAAAGUCUGACGGAGCAACGCCGCGUGAACGAUGAAGGCCUUCGGGUCGUAAAGUUCUGUUGUUAGGGAAGAACAAGUACCAGAGUAACUGCUGGUACCUUGACGGUACCUAACCAGAAAGCCACGGCUAACUACGUGCCAGCCGCCGCAGUAA
RNAcentral lists this ribosomal RNA (512 nucleotides) under uncultured bacterium. RNAcentral describes it as "partial 16S ribosomal RNA". It matches the Rfam family "Bacterial small subunit ribosomal RNA", at positions 28 to 523 of the family's 1533-position model. The record is from RNAcentral.